This 358-nucleotide RNase P RNA is filed under the name Sedimenticola sp. RNAcentral's name for it is "RNase P RNA component class A". It matches the Rfam family "Bacterial RNase P class A". From Rfam's summary of the family: Ribonuclease P (RNase P) is a ubiquitous endoribonuclease, found in archaea, bacteria and eukarya as well as chloroplasts and mitochondria. Its best characterised activity is the generation of mature 5'-ends of tRNAs by cleaving the 5'-leader elements of precursor-tRNAs. The record is from RNAcentral. Lineage: Bacteria; Pseudomonadati; Pseudomonadota; Gammaproteobacteria; Chromatiales; Sedimenticolaceae.
GGAGUCGGCCGGAUGGUCGCUGCCCUUUAAGGGUGGAGGAAAGUCCGGGCUCCACAGGACGGAACGCCAGGUAACGCCUGGGGGGCGCAAGCCUACGGAAAGUGCCACAGAAAAUAUACCGCCGAAGCCUUCGGGCUGGUAAGGUUGAAAUGGUGCGGUAAGAGCGCACCGCGCCACUGGUAACAGUGGUGGCAGGGUAAACCCCGUUCGGAGCAAGACCAAAUAGAGGGGCAGGCGGUUUGAUCCGCGACAUGUGGUCCACAUGGUCCCUGGGUAGGUUGCUUGAGGCAUGCGGUGACGCAUGUCCCAGAUGAAUGGCCAUUCUCGACAGAACCCGGCUUACAGGCCGGCUCCUAAU